AGUCAUAGUUCCACUAAUCAGGAGGUCUAGAAGGAGUCAUAGUUCCACUAAUCAGGAGGUCUAGAAGGAGUCAUAGUUCCACUAAUCAGGAGGUCUAGAAGGAGUCAUAGUUCCACUAAUCAGGAGGUCUAGAAGGAGUCAUAGUUCCACUAAUCAGGAGAUCUAGAAGGAGUCAUAGUUCCACUAAUCAGGAGGUCUAGAAGGAGUCAUAGUUCCACUAAUCAGGAGGUCUAGAAGGAGUCAUAGUUCCACUAAUCAGGAGGUCUAGAAGGAGUCAUAGUUCCACUAAUCAGGAGGUCUAGAAGGAGUCAUAGUUCCACUAAUCAGGAGGUCUAGAAGGCGUAAUAGUUCCACCUUUUAAAGCCAUUUUUGGACAGGUUUGAGGUCAUUGCUGUGUCAUUUGAACAGGUUUUGUCAGUUUGGACAUAUUUUGAGAAAUUUUGGACCAUUUUU
Acanthochromis polyacanthus (spiny chromis) is the source of this 453-nucleotide long non-coding RNA. RefSeq lists it as uncharacterized. Lineage: Eukaryota; Metazoa; Chordata; Actinopteri; Pomacentridae. The record is from RefSeq and is a predicted model, not a curated record. The transcript has 3 exons.